UUUACAAUGAAGAGUUUGAUCCUGGCUCAGGAUGAACGCUAGCUACAGGCUUAACACAUGCAAGUCGAGGGGCAGCAUUUUAGUUUGCUUGCAAACUGAAGAUGGCGACCGGCGCACGGGUGAGUAACACGUAUCCAACCUGCCGAUAACUCCGGGAUAGCCUUUCGAAAGAAAGAUUAAUACCGGAUGGCAUACGAAUAUCGCAUGAUAUUUUUAUUAAAGAAUUUCGGUUAUCGAUGGGGAUGCGUUCCAUUAGUUUGUUGGCGGGGUAACGGCCCACCAAGACUACGAUGGAUAGGGGUUCUGAGAGGAAGGUCCCCCACAUUGGAACUGAGACACGGUCCAAACUCCUACGGGAGGCAGCAGUGAGGAAUAUUGGUCAAUGGGCGCGAGCCUGAACCAGCCAAGUAGCGUGAAGGAUGAAGGCUCUAUGGGUCGUAAACUUCUUUUAUAUGGGAAUAAAGUUUUCCACGUGUGGAAUUUUGUAUGUACCAUAUGAAUAAGGAUCGGCUAACUCCGUGCCAGCAGCCGCGGUAAUACGGAGGAUCCGAGCGUUAUCCGGAUUUAUUGGGUUUAAAGGGAGCGUAGGUGGAUUGUUAAGUCAGUUGUGAAAGUUUGCGGCUCAACCGUAAAAUUGCAGUUGAAACUGGGAGUCUUGAGUACAGUAGAGGUGGGCGGAAUUCGUGGUGUAGCGGUGAAAUGCUUAGAUAUCACGAAGAACUCCGAUUGCGAAGGCAGCUCACUAGACUGUCACUGACACUGAUGCUCGAAAGUGUGGGUAUCAAACAGGAUUAGAUACCCUGGUAGUCCACACAGUAAACGAUGAAUACUCGCUGUUUGCGAUAUACAGUAAGCGGCCAAGCGAAAGCAUUAAGUAUUCCACCUGGGGAGUACGCCGGCAACGGUGAAACUCAAAGGAAUUGACGGGGGCCCGCACAAGCGGAGGAACAUGUGGUUUAAUUCGAUGAUACGCGAGGAACCUUACCCGGGCUUAAAUUGCAACAGAAUAUAUUGGAAACAGUAUAGCCGUAAGGCUGUUGUGAAGGUGCUGCAUGGUUGUCGUCAGCUCGUGCCGUGAGGUGUCGGCUUAAGUGCCAUAACGAGCGCAACCCUUAUCUUUAGUUACUAACAGGUUAUGCUGAGGACUCUAGAGAGACUGCCGUCGUAAGAUGUGAGGAAGGUGGGGAUGACGUCAAAUCAGCACGGCCCUUACGUCCGGGGCUACACACGUGUUACAAUGGGGGGUACAGAAGGCGGCUACCUGGUGACAGGAUGCUAAUCCCAAAAACCUCUCUCAGUUCGGAUCGAAGUCUGCAACCCGACUUCGUGAAGCUGGAUUCGCUAGUAAUCGCGCAUCAGCCAUGGCGCGGUGAAUACGUUCCCGGGCCUUGUACACACCGCCCGUCAAGCCAUGAAAGCCGGGGGUACCUGAAGUACGUAACCGCAAGGAGCGUCCUAGGGUAAAACUGGUAAUUGGGGCUAAGUCGUAACAAGGUAGCCGUACCGGAAGGUGCGGCUGGAACACCUCCUUUCUG
This 1535-nucleotide ribosomal RNA is filed under the name Bacteroides ovatus. RNAcentral describes it as "bacterial SSU rRNA". It matches the Rfam family "Bacterial small subunit ribosomal RNA". Lineage: Bacteria; Pseudomonadati; Bacteroidota; Bacteroidia; Bacteroidales; Bacteroidaceae. The record is from RNAcentral.